This 89-nucleotide transfer RNA is filed under the name Lachnospiraceae bacterium. Its description in RNAcentral is "tRNA-His". It matches the Rfam family "tRNA". From Rfam's summary of the family: Transfer RNA (tRNA) molecules are approximately 80 nucleotides in length. Their secondary structure includes four short double-helical elements and three loops (D, anti-codon, and T loops). The record is from RNAcentral. Lineage: Bacteria; Bacillati; Bacillota; Clostridia; Lachnospirales; Lachnospiraceae.
GGUGUAGGUGGUGGAAUUGGUAGACACACCGGAUUGUGGUUCCGGUGUCCAGUAAUGGCAAUUGCGAGUUCAAGUCUCGUCUUGCACCC